RNAcentral lists this ribosomal RNA (496 nucleotides) under uncultured bacterium. RNAcentral's name for it is "partial 16S ribosomal RNA". It matches the Rfam family "Bacterial small subunit ribosomal RNA", at positions 30 to 523 of the family's 1533-position model. The record is from RNAcentral.
AUUGAACGCUGGCGGAAUGCUUUACACAUGCAAGUCGAACGGUAGAGGGGGCAACCCCUCGAGAGUGGCGAACGGGUGAGUAAUAUAUCGGAACGUGCCCAGUCGUGGGGGAUAACGUAGCGAAAGUUACGCUAAUACCGCAUACGAUCUAAGGAUGAAGGCGGGGGAUCGCAAGACCUCGCGCGAUCGGAGCGGCCGAUAUCAGAUUAGGUAGUUGGUGGGGUAAAGGCUCACCAAGCCAACGAUCUGUAGCUGGUCUGAGAGGACGACCAGCCACACUGGAACUGAGACACGGUCCAGACUCCUACGGGAGGCAGCAGUGGGGAAUUUUGGGCAAUGGACGCAAGUCUGAUCCAGCCAUUCCGCGUGCAGGAUGAAGGCCCUCGGGUUGUAAACUGCUUUUGUACGGAACGAAAAGGUCUCUCUUAAUACGGGGGGCUCAUGACGGUACCGUAAGAAUAAGCACCGGCUAACUACGUGCCAGCCGCCGCCGUAA